This 460-nucleotide ribosomal RNA is filed under the name uncultured bacterium. RNAcentral describes it as "partial 16S ribosomal RNA". It matches the Rfam family "Bacterial small subunit ribosomal RNA", at positions 338 to 795 of the family's 1533-position model. The record is from RNAcentral.
CCUACGGGGGGCUGCAGUGAGGAAUAUUGGUCAAUGGCCGGAAGGCUGAACCAGCCAUGCCGCGUGAAUGUCAGUGCCCUAUGGGCGUUAAACUUCUUUUGUGCGGGAGCAAUAAUGGUCACGUGUGGCCAGACGAGAGUACCGUACGAAUAAGCAUCGGCUAACUCCGUGCCAGCAGCCGCGGUAAUACGGGGGAUGCAAGCGUUAUCCGGAUUUAUUGGGUCUAAAGGGUGCGUAGGCUGUGAGGUAAGUCAGCGGUGAAAUGCCCCCGCUCAACGGGGUGAAGUGCCAUUGAUACUGACUUGCUGGAAUGCGGAUGCCGUGGGAGGAAUGUGUGGUGUAGCGGGGAAAUGCAUAGAGAUCACACAGAACACUGAUUGCGAAGGCAUCUCCCGAAUCCGAGAUUGACGCUGAUGCACGAAAGCGUGGGUAUCAAACAGGAUUAGAUACCCUAGUAGUC